Molecule: ribosomal RNA, 975 nt
Filed under: uncultured Stomatobaculum sp.
Lineage: Bacteria; Bacillati; Bacillota; Clostridia; Lachnospirales; Lachnospiraceae
Description: bacterial SSU rRNA
Rfam family: Bacterial small subunit ribosomal RNA
Source: RNAcentral
AGAGUUCGAUCCUGGCUCAGGAUGAACGCUGGCGGCGUGCUUAACACAUGCAAGUCGAACGAGAAAUGAAGACGGAAACCUUCGGGCGGAAGGCUUCAUUUCGAGUGGCGGACGGGUGAGUAACGCGUGGGUAACCUGCCUCAUACAGGGGGAUAACAGUUGGAAACGACUGUUAAUACCGCAUAAGACCACAGCACCGCAUGGUGCGGGGGUAAAAACUCCGGUGGUAUGAGAUGGACCCGCGUUCGAUUAGCCAGUUGGCGGGGUAACGGCCCACCAAAGCGACGAUCGAUAGCCGAUCUGAGAGGAUGACCGGCCACAUUGGGACUGAGACACGGCCCAAACUCCUACGGGAGGCAGCAGUGGGGAAUAUUGCACAAUGGGGGAAACCCUGAUGCAGCGACGCCGCGUGAGUGAAGAAGUACUUCGGUAUGUAAAGCUCUAUCAGCAGGGAAGAAAAUGACGGUACCUGAGUAAGAAGCCCCGGCUAACUACGUGCCAGCAGCCGCGGUAAUACGUAGGGGGCAAGCGUUAUCCGGAUUCAUUGGGCGUAAAGCGCUCGUAGGCGGUCUGUUAGGUCGGGAGUUAAAUCCGGGGGCUCAACCCCCGCUCGCUCCCGAUACCGGCAGACUUGAGUUUGGUAGGGGAAGGUGGAAUUCCUAGUGUAGCGGUGGAAUGCGCAGAUAUUAGGAAGAACACCAGUGGCGAAGGCGGCCUUCUGGGCCAUAACUGACGCUGAGGAGCGAAAGCUAGGGGAGCAAACAGGAUUAGAUACCCUGGUAGUCCUAGCCGUAAACGAUGGACACUAGGUGUGGGGGAAUAUUUCUUCCGUGCCGCAGCUAACGCAUUAAGUGUCCCGCCUGGGGAGUACGGCCGCAAGGCUAAAACUCAAAGGAAUUGACGGGGGCCCGCACAAGCGGCGGAGCAUGCGGAUUAAUUCGAUGCAACGCGAAGAACCUUACCAAGGCUUGACAU